RNAcentral lists this ribosomal RNA (460 nucleotides) under uncultured bacterium. RNAcentral describes it as "partial 16S ribosomal RNA". It matches the Rfam family "Bacterial small subunit ribosomal RNA", at positions 338 to 795 of the family's 1533-position model. The record is from RNAcentral.
CCUACGGGAUGCAGCAGUGAGGAAUAUUGGUCAAUGGACGAGAGUCUGAACCAGCCAAGUAGCGUGAAGGAUGACUGCCCUAGGGGUGGUAAACUUCUUUUAUAAAGGAAUAAAACGAGGCACGUGUGCCUUUUUGCAUGUACUUUAUGAAUAAGGAUCGGCUAACUCAGUGCCAGCAGCCGCUGUAAUACGGAGGAUCCGAGCGUUACCCGGAUUUAUUGGGUGUAAAGGGAGCGUAGAUGGGUUUUUAAGUCAGUUGUGAAAGUUUGCGGCUCAACCGUAAAAUUGCAAUUGAUACUGGCAGUCUAGAGUACAGUUGAGGUAGGCGGAAUUCGUGGUGUAGCGGUGAAAUGCUUAGAUAUCACGAAGAACCCCGAUUGCGAAGGCAGCUUACUAAACUGUGACUGACAUUGAUGCUCGAAAGUGUGGGUAUCAAACAGGAUUAGAUACCCGAGUAGUC